CCUACGGGUGGCAGCAGUCGAGAAUCAUUCACAAUGGGGGAAACCCUGAUGGUGCGACGCCGCGUGGGGGAAUGAAGGUCUUCGGAUUGUAAACUCCUGUCAUGUGGGAGCAAAUUAAAAAGAUAGUACCACAAGAGGAAGAGACGGCCAACUCUGUGCCAGCAGUCGCGGUAAUACAGAGGUCUCAAGCGUUGUUCGGAAUCACUGGGCGUAAAGCGUGCGUAGGCUGUUUCGUAAGUCGUGUGUGAAAGGCGCGGGCUCAACCCGCGGACGGCACAUGAUACUGCGGGACUAGAGUGAUGGAGGGGGAACCGGAAUUCUCGGUGUAGCAGUGAAAUGCGUAGAUAUCGGGAGGAACACUCGUGGCGAAGGCGGGUUCCUGGACAUUAACUGACGCUGAGGCACGAAGGCCAGGGGAGCGAAAGGGAUUAGAUACCCGUGUAGUC
RNAcentral lists this ribosomal RNA (446 nucleotides) under uncultured bacterium. RNAcentral describes it as "partial 16S ribosomal RNA". It matches the Rfam family "Bacterial small subunit ribosomal RNA", at positions 338 to 795 of the family's 1533-position model. The record is from RNAcentral.